This 75-nucleotide transfer RNA is filed under the name Brachybacterium alimentarium. RNAcentral's name for it is "tRNA-Arg". It matches the Rfam family "tRNA". From Rfam's summary of the family: Transfer RNA (tRNA) molecules are approximately 80 nucleotides in length. Their secondary structure includes four short double-helical elements and three loops (D, anti-codon, and T loops). RNAcentral also lists the same sequence under 9 other names. Lineage: Bacteria; Bacillati; Actinomycetota; Actinomycetes; Micrococcales; Dermabacteraceae. The record is from RNAcentral.
GCCCGCGUAGCUCAGUGGAUAGAGCGUCUGCCUCCGGAGCAGAAGGUCGUAGGUUCGAAUCCUGUCGCGGGCACC